AAUUGUAUUUUUGCCAGUUGAAUUUUGACGAAUUGGAAGACACUUUUUUCUUUCUUGAAGUCUCUGCUUGCAUUGGCCGAGAAGAGAAAAAGUCUUACAUGUGCACUUUUACACAAAGAGCCAGGCCAAAUAUUUAGCAGUCAUAAGCUUUUUUAGGUGACCUUUGGGUCAUUCUGCAAUAAGUCAAAGUUUAAUGAACAACGAGCAGUUUGGCUUCAAGUAGAUUCAAGUCUCAACUAAACUCAAAGCGGAUUUGACGGGGCUGAGACACAGAAGAAGAUGCUGGACCGACGGGAAAUGAAACCUCAGAAAAUUUAAGGGUUUUUUUUUUGUUUGUUUGUUUUUGUUUUUUGUUUUUUUUUCUUCAUUGUGACUGUGUGAAACCAUGUCUGUCUUUCCCCGCUUGUGUCCGAGGAUAAGCACUUAAAAUGUAAUCAUGGAGAGUUCGGACUCCUUCGAUGUGGAAUAUUUGUUAAAGCUGGUCGAUAAUCUGCGCCUGAAGUGCUUGUGAGCACACUGGGCUGCUAGUAGCAGACAUGCUCCUCUUUUCAAACAGCAGUGUUCUUCGCCUACGCGUUGUUACGACAUUUCCAUAUACCAAUGGAGACAGUAUUCCCGAAAGAAUGGAAGGACUCGCAUUCAACUACCAAUAAAAAGCGAACAAGGUAUCCUUAUUCCAGAAAAAAAAAAAAUCUCUGGCAAUCAAUCACCCGCUGAAAUAUACAGGAA
Scatophagus argus is the source of this 729-nucleotide long non-coding RNA. RefSeq lists it as uncharacterized. The record is from RefSeq and is a predicted model, not a curated record. NCBI's taxonomy places the organism in Eukaryota, Metazoa, Chordata, Actinopteri, Scatophagidae. The transcript is spliced from 2 exons.